CAACCCCAAAAAGACCUGUCAUCGCCUGGUAUUCUACACCUCCACAAAUGACAGAGGCAAGCGCAGUAGAAUCGACUUCGAUGAAGAGUUUGACAUCAACGACCCAGACCUACUGCGCACACCACCACACACAUCGCUCGUCAUCAACGCAGGUUCGAAAGAGGCAAUACAAACAGUCAUGCUAACAGCACGACCUGAUACUCCGUACCAGCAACA
This 216-nucleotide long non-coding RNA is filed under the name Mytilus galloprovincialis (Mediterranean mussel). The record is from RNAcentral. Lineage: Eukaryota; Metazoa; Mollusca; Bivalvia; Mytilida; Mytilidae.